AAAGAAAGCCAGCCCUUCUUGGCAGGGCUGCAAAGAGAUGGUAGCUGGGGGAGUGCGGGAGGGGGCCCUCAGUUCCGGAGCCUCAGUUAUAAACAAGGCACACUGCUGGCCCCUUCAUCUUGUGGUUUUGUUUCAUUCUCACACCCAUUCCGAAGCUCAGAGAGGUGAAGUGCCUUGCUCAGUGUUACCUAGCCAGUGAGACGCAGACUCACGUUUUCUUUUCUUUUCUUUUUUCUUUUUGACAGAGUCUCCAUUUGUCGACCAGGCUGGAGUGCAGUGACGCCAUCUCAGCUCACUGCAACCUCUGCCUCCCUGGAUCAAGCAAUUCUCCUGCCUCAGUCUCCUGAGUAGCUGGGAUUACAGGCGUGUGCCACCACAUCCAGCUAAUUUUUGUAUUUUUAGUAGAGACGGGGUUUCACCAUGUUGGCCAGGCUGGUCUCAAACUCCUGACCUCACGUGAUCUGCCCGCCUUGGCCUCCCAAAGUGCUGGGAUUACAGGCAUGAGCCACCACACUUGGCCUCAGACUCACAUUUUCAAAAUGUCCCAGUGAGUCUGCUGGGUGGAGCCUUAGGGUUAAAUGCCCUCCCUAGUGUCCCAGGCAGGUCUUUUGCUUUGAGAGUCUCCCCCAGACUUGGCGAAGCAAGGGUUAAGGUGCAUGCUCACACACGCUGGAGUGUCCAUCACUCCCACCACCUGGACUAAUGACAAACCAUGUCUGCAGCAGAGGGAAGGCGGAUGAACUGCCAGAUGUGUAUUAAGAAACCAGCUUGCAGGAAAUUGCUGUCGGGUGAUUAUUAUUAGCUGGGUUAUUCAGAACAGCCCUUUCUCCAAAGGUCGUGCAUUUACCAAAUGCUUGAUGUGUUUUCCCAGUCAGCCCCAGAAAAUUUUGUCCUCCUGGAGAGAGAGCUUGUCCUCCAGGACUGCUGAAAGUGGGUGAUGAUAAUUCUGCCCCCGCCUCCCAUCAGCAUAUCACGGCAGCUGCUUUGAAUGCACAGCAGUCUGCGCUCUGGUUCCUGGUUCUGUGUGCAGAGGCAGGAGGUUGACCUUCAAGAGCACAGAGCUGAGUUCAAAUCCCCAGCUCGGCCACUGAUUAAUUAUAUUCAUCCAUUCACUACCUAAUUUUGAAGAGCUUUUCAUAUCCUUGGUACUUGGGCAAUUGCUUUACUUCUAUGAAACUUAAUUUCCUAGUGGCUCAAAUACUGAUAAUACCUUUCUUGGCGUGUUGUGAGAAUGAGUGGCAUAUCACCCGUGGAGAGUUCCAGACAAUAACUCCCUUCCAUUUCUUGAGAUAAUCUGACAGUGUCUGUUAUAUUUUAAAGAACCCACCAGUUUUACUCACUUCACCACGUCACAUUGGUAGAUGAAAAACAAAAAACAAAAUAAGUUACAGUGCCAUUCAUACUGUAUAAGAUCAAUUAUGUAAAAUAAAAAAACCCUCACAAUUAUAUGUUUUCUCAAGCUAGGCAGAAUGUGGUGUAUGCAUCAAGGGAUUAUUAUUCAGCUGUAAAAAGGAAUAAAGCAAAAUAAACAAAAAAGCUUUAAAAAAUCAGCUGGGGAUGUUCGUGCAUGACUAUGUUCCCAGUUACUUGGGAAGCAGAGGAGGGAGGAUUACUUGAGCCCAGGAGGUUGAGGCCACAGUGAGUGGUGUUUGCGUCACUGUACUCCAGCCUGGGCAACAGAGAGAGACCCUGUAUUAAAAAAAAAGAAAAGAAAUAGGGUCAUUGUAGAUGCAAGUAGUUAAGGAUCUUGAAAUCAUCCUGGAUUUAGGGCAGGCCCUAAGUCCAAUGACAGCUGUCCUUAUCACAAGAGGAGAGGACUCAGAAAGAAGACAAUGUGGAGUCAGGCGGAGAAUGGGGUGAGGCAUGUAAGAGCCAAGGAUCGCCCAGGAUUGCCGGCAGCCUCCAUGCGUCAGGACAGACACGCGGAACGGAUUCUCCCUCAGAGCCUCCAGAAGGACCCAGCCAUGCUGCUACUUUGAUUUUGGACUCGUGGCCUCCAGAACUGUGCGGGAAUGUUACCCCCAAGACCCUGGGGAGGCCACAAAUGUGGUAGAGGAUCGUGGGCAGUGUCUCUUCCUGACCAGCCUCUCCUCCCUGAAUCCUAGCACUGAUUGUAGAAUCCCAGCAGACCGCAAUCCUCAGCCUCAACUACACAGAGCAACCAGAGUGUG
Molecule: long non-coding RNA, 2171 nt
Filed under: Homo sapiens (human)
Lineage: Eukaryota; Metazoa; Chordata; Mammalia; Primates; Hominidae
Description: HSALNT0227397
Source: RNAcentral